UGCAAGUCGAACGGCAGCAUGAGAGCUUGCUCUUCUGAUGGCGAGUGGCGAACGGGUGAGUAAAGCAUCGGAACGUGCCCAGUCGUGGGGGAUAACGUAGCGAAAGUUACGCUAAUACCGCAUACGAUCUACGGAUGAAAGCGGGGGACUCGCAAGGGCCUCGCGCGAUUGGAGCGGCCGAUAUCAGAUUAGGUAGUUGGUGGGGUAAAGGCUCACCAAGCCAACGAUCUGUAGCUGGUCUGAGAGGACGACCAGCCACACUGGAACUGAGACACGGUCCAGACUCCUACGGGAGGCAGCAGUGGGGAAUUUUGGACAAUGGACGCAAGUCUGAUCCAGCCAUUCCGCGUGCAGGAUGAAGGCCCUCGGGUUGUAAACUGCUUUUGUACGGAACGAAAAGGUUUCCAUUAAUACUGGGAGCUCAUGACGGUACCGUAAGAAUAAGCACCGGCUAACUACGUG
This 462-nucleotide ribosomal RNA is filed under the name uncultured bacterium. RNAcentral's name for it is "bacterial SSU rRNA". It matches the Rfam family "Bacterial small subunit ribosomal RNA", at positions 56 to 507 of the family's 1533-position model. The record is from RNAcentral.